AAGUCGUAACAAAGGUUUCCGUAGGUGAACCUGCGGAAGGAUCAUUAGUGAAUUUUAGGGUGCUCUGCUUCAUCGCAGAGGCCUGACCUCCACUCUCCAACACUGUGCACUAUUUGGCAAAGCGGAAUUGUGUAUCCUCUCUCGGGAGAAUCGCAUGGCUUUGCGGCUUCAUUUUAAACACCAAGUCAAAUGAAUGUAAACAAACCAAAAACUAAAAAAAA
This 221-nucleotide unclassified non-coding RNA is filed under the name plant metagenome. Its description in RNAcentral is "partial contains small subunit ribosomal RNA and internal transcribed spacer 1". The stretch from base 1 to 47 matches the Rfam family "Eukaryotic small subunit ribosomal RNA", at positions 1786 to 1831 of the family's 1831-position model. The record is from RNAcentral.